RNAcentral lists this unclassified non-coding RNA (358 nucleotides) under soil metagenome. RNAcentral's name for it is "partial contains 5.8S ribosomal RNA, internal transcribed spacer 2, and large subunit ribosomal RNA". The stretch from base 1 to 120 matches the Rfam family "5.8S ribosomal RNA", at positions 35 to 154 of the family's 154-position model. The record is from RNAcentral.
GAUGAAGAACGCAGCGAAAUGCGAUAAGUAAUGUGAAUUGCAGAAUUCAGUGAAUCAUCGAAUCUUUGAACGCACAUUGCGCCCGCCAGUAUUCUGGCGGGCAUGCCUGUCCGAGCGUCAUUUCAACCCUCGAACCCCUCCGGGGGGUCGGCGUUGGGGACCUCGGGAGCCCCUAAGACGGGAUCCCGGCCCCGAAAUACAGUGGCGGUCUCGCCGCAGCCUGUCCUGCGCAGUAGUUUGCACAACUCGCACCGGGAGCGCGGCGCGUCCACGUCCGUAAAACACCCAACUUCUGAAAUGUUGACCUCGGAUCAGGUAGGAAUACCCGCUGAACUUAAGCAUAUCAAUAAGCGGAGGA